CACCAAUGCCAUCACACCAGUUAUUUUGUUUGACUGAAGAGUUUUAAACCUCAUUUUGCCAAUAUUAUUACACUGUGGGUUCUGGUUUAAGAUUGAAAUAUGAGAAUCAGAGAUUCCAAUCUUUGGAAACACAGUUCCCGUCUUUUCUGUUGAAUAUCUGGAGUUCUGUACUUGGAGUACAACUUACCAUAUACACAAUGCUUUUAUUAUUAUUAUUAUUAUUAUUAUUAUUAUUAUUGAGGUGGAGUCUUGCUCUGUCACCAAGGCUGGAGUGCAGUGGCGUGAUCUUGGCUCACUGCAACUUCCGCCGCCCGGGUUCAAACAAUUCUCCUGUCUCAGCCUCCUGAGUAGCUGGGACUACAGGCACAUGCCACCACUCCUGGCUAAUUUUUUUUUGUAUUUUUAGUAGAGACGGGGUUUCACCAUAUUGGUCAGGCUGGUUUCGAACUCCUGACCUGAGGUGAUCCACCCACCUCGGCCUCCCAAAGUGCUGGGAUUACAGGCGUAAGCCACCACACCCAGCCUAUUUUUUAACCUACAUUUUUUUCUUUUUUAGAAACAGGGUCUCACUGUGUUGCCCAGGCUGGUCUCAAACUCCUGGGCUCAAGCAAUCCUCCUGCCUCAGUCUUCCAAAGAGUUGGGAUUCUGGGCGUGAG
RNAcentral lists this long non-coding RNA (656 nucleotides) under Homo sapiens (human). RNAcentral describes it as "HSALNT0068821". Lineage: Eukaryota; Metazoa; Chordata; Mammalia; Primates; Hominidae. The record is from RNAcentral.